RNAcentral lists this small nuclear RNA (107 nucleotides) under Dasypus novemcinctus (nine-banded armadillo). The record is from RNAcentral. Lineage: Eukaryota; Metazoa; Chordata; Mammalia; Cingulata; Dasypodidae.
GUACUCCCUUAGAGACCACAUAUACUAAAACUGGAACAAUACAGAGAAGAUUAACAUGGCCCCUGCUCAAGGAUGACACACAAAUUUGUGAAAUAUUCCAUAUUUUU